GACGAACGCUGGCGGCGUGCUUAACACAUGCAAGUCGAACGGUAAGGCCCUUCGGGUACGACGAGUGGCGAACGGGUGAGUAACACGUGGGUGAUCUGCCUGCACUUCGGGAUAAGCCUGGGAAACUGGGUCUAAUACCGGAUAGGACCAUGGACUUCACGGUUUGUGGUGGAAAGCUUUUGCGGUGUGGGAUGGGCCCGCGGCCUAUCAGCUUGUUGGUGGGGUAAUGGCCUACCAAGGCGACGACGGGUAGCCGGCCUGAGAGGGUGUCCGGCCACACUGGGACUGAGAUACGGCCCAGACUCCUACGGGAGGCAGCAGUGGGGAAUAUUGCACAAUGGGCGCAAGCCUGAUGCAGCGACGCCGCGUGAGGGAUGACGGCCUCGGUUGUAACUCUUUCAAUAGGACGAAGCGCAAGUGACGGUACCUAUAGAGAAGCACCGGCCAACUACGUGCCAGCAGCCGCGGUAAU
Molecule: ribosomal RNA, 472 nt
Filed under: uncultured bacterium
Lineage: Bacteria
Description: bacterial SSU rRNA
Rfam family: Bacterial small subunit ribosomal RNA
Source: RNAcentral